This 990-nucleotide ribosomal RNA is filed under the name Microbacterium mangrovi. RNAcentral's name for it is "bacterial SSU rRNA". It matches the Rfam family "Bacterial small subunit ribosomal RNA", at positions 173 to 1181 of the family's 1533-position model. The record is from RNAcentral. Lineage: Bacteria; Bacillati; Actinomycetota; Actinomycetes; Micrococcales; Microbacteriaceae.
UGAGCUCCUGCCGCAUGGUGGGGGUUGGAAAGAUUUUUUGGUUGGGGAUGGGCUCGCGGCCUAUCAGCUUGUUGGUGAGGUAAUGGCUCACCAAGGCGUCGACGGGUAGCCGGCCUGAGAGGGUGACCGGCCACACUGGGACUGAGACACGGCCCAGACUCCUACGGGAGGCAGCAGUGGGGAAUAUUGCACAAUGGGCGGAAGCCUGAUGCAGCAACGCCGCGUGAGGGAUGACGGCCUUCGGGUUGUAAACCUCUUUUAGCAGGGAAGAAGCGAAAGUGACGGUACCUGCAGAAAAAGCACCGGCUAACUACGUGCCAGCAGCCGCGGUAAUACGUAGGGUGCAAGCGUUAUCCGGAAUUAUUGGGCGUAAAGAGCUCGUAGGCGGUCUGUCGCGUCUGCUGUGAAAUCCCGAGGCUCAACCUCGGGCCUGCAGUGGGUACGGGCAGACUAGAGUGCGGUAGGGGAGAUUGGAAUUCCUGGUGUAGCGGUGGAAUGCGCAGAUAUCAGGAGGAACACCGAUGGCGAAGGCAGAUCUCUGGGCCGUAACUGACGCUGAGGAGCGAAAGGGUGGGGAGCAAACAGGCUUAGAUACCCUGGUAGUCCACCCCGUAAACGUUGGGAACUAGUUGUGGGGUCCAUUCCACGGAUUCCGUGACGAAGCUAACGCAUUAAGUUCCCCGCCUGGGGAGUACGGCCGCAAGGCUAAAACUCAAAGGAAUUGACGGGGACCCGCACAAGCGGCGGAGCAUGCGGAUUAAUUCGAUGCAACGCGAAGAACCUUACCAAGGCUUGACAUAUACCGGAAACGGCCAGAGAUGGUCGCCCCGCAAGGUCGGUAUACAGGUGGUGCAUGGUUGUCGUCAGCUCGUGUCGUGAGAUGUUGGGUUAAGUCCCGCAACGAGCGCAACCCUCGUUCUAUGUUGCCAGCACGUAAUGGUGGGAACUCAUGGGAUACUGCCGGGGUCAACUCGGAGGAAGGUGGGGAUG